CUUGGGAGUGAAGACCGGUUUGCCAUACAUUUACCACAGCAAAGCUAGCAACCCGUUUGUGAACCUGAAGAAGGAGUACAAGGGAAUCUUCUGGCAGGAGGAGAUCAUUCCUUUCUUCCAGAAUGCGAAGCUAUCAAAAGAAGCAGUAACUGUUCAACAAUGCUACAUUGAGCUCUCGAAGAUGGUGAAGGAGAAGCUGAGCUCCUUAGACCCAUACUUUGACAAGCUUGCAGACGCCAUGGUCACAUGGAUUGAAGCUUGGGAUGAGCUUAACCCGCCAACUGCUGCAGCAGCCAAUGGCAAAGCUUGAGCAGUACCUGAGCCAAGAAAAAAAAAACCACCACAGUUUUGGUUGUUUUAGCUCAAAUUAUCAUUUUAUGUGCUUUCUUGUAGUUGUUUAUCAUUAUCAAUACUUUCUCAUUG
Molecule: long non-coding RNA, 423 nt
Filed under: Eutrema salsugineum
Lineage: Eukaryota; Viridiplantae; Streptophyta; Magnoliopsida; Brassicales; Brassicaceae
Description: long non-coding RNA (ESAL_LNC001113)
Source: RNAcentral